UCUGGAAGAGAUUCAGAGGGUAGCCAAUCACUAUAGAAAGUCGACUGAUAAUGAAGCCUGGAGAGCAUUUGGAUCAGUCCGAUAGAUGAAUGGGAGAGCUCAUUAUUGGAGAAGUCCGGAUGGCAUGAUAGGAGUUCGUCCGUUGGGGAAAUCUGGAGGACACUGUGGAAGGUCGACCACUAGAGAAGUUCGGAUGGUAUUAUGGAAGCUCGGACAGCCGGGGGAGUUCAGAAAGACACCGCACAAGGUCAGAAAUCGGAAGAGCCCUGAGAGGGUCGGCCUUUUACGAACUUCAGCUGGGG
Molecule: long non-coding RNA, 302 nt
Filed under: Elaeis guineensis (African oil palm)
Lineage: Eukaryota; Viridiplantae; Streptophyta; Magnoliopsida; Arecales; Arecaceae
Description: long non-coding RNA (EGUI_LNC056920)
Source: RNAcentral